CCUACGGGAGGCUGCAGUGGGGAAUAUUGGACAAUGGGCGAAAGCCUGAUCCAGCCAUGCCGCGUGUGUGAAGAAGGCCUUCGGGUUGUAAAGCACUUUCAGUGGGGAAGAAAGCCUUGGGGCUAAUACCCUCGAGGAAGGACAUCACCCACAGAAGAAGCACCGGCUAACUCCGUGCCAGCAGCCGCGGUAAUACGGAGGGUGCGAGCGUUAAUCGGAAUUACUGGGCGUAAAGCGCGCGUAGGCGGUCUGAUAAGCCGGUUGUGAAAGCCCCGGGCUCAACCUGGGAACGGCAUCCGGAACUGUCAGGCUAGAGUGCAGGAGAGGAAGGUAGAAUUCCCGGUGUAGCGGUGAAAUGCGUAGAGAUCGGGAGGAAUACCAGUGGCGAAGGCGGUCUUCUGGACUGACACUGACGCUGAGGUACGAAAGCGUGGGUAGCAAACAGGAUUAGAUACCCCAGUAGUC
This 465-nucleotide ribosomal RNA is filed under the name Vreelandella stevensii. RNAcentral describes it as "partial 16S ribosomal RNA". It matches the Rfam family "Bacterial small subunit ribosomal RNA", at positions 338 to 795 of the family's 1533-position model. The record is from RNAcentral. Lineage: Bacteria; Pseudomonadati; Pseudomonadota; Gammaproteobacteria; Oceanospirillales; Halomonadaceae.